AUGGGCGGGGUGGUGGAGGAAGCCGCUCUUCCUAGCGGGGGCGUCCUUCGCCCACCGCAGGAGGCAAAGCUGCUGUGUGGGGCGUGGGGUGGGGUGAGGGGGAGGGAGGCUGCACGAGGAGAGCGUGAAGGUGGCGGCAGGCGCGCGCGCGCGGGGGGGGGGGCGUGUGGAGGCAGCCACAUGACCGGGCGGGCUGCGAGCCAAGGCGGACGGUCUGGGUCUCCCCCGACGCCCGCCUACAAAUGCAGGCGGGCCGCGGCGGGAGCGGGCGCGAUCGCUGCUGCUGCUGCUCGCUGCGUGACUGUUGCAGCCGGCUGGCGUGGCUCGGCCCUCGGCGUCGCGAUGGGCGUGCGGGGUUGGCUGCUGGCGCUGCUCCUUCUCUGGCUGGCUCUCAGCCCCGGCUCCGGAGGUGGGUGGCUGCUUCGCUUGACCCUCGAGGGCGGGCGGGAUCGGGGCUCCGAGCGCCGCACUUGUUGCCGGGCACGCACGUUAAGCAGCGGGGUGGGAAGGAGGGAUCAGCGUCGACCGGGUCGCCUCUUCUCCCUCGCGAAGGACGCGCUCCUGACCAAACUGCUGCCCGACCUCUCGCCCUCUGCUCGCCGUCGGGGCGCCCGCUCGGCCAGGAGGGGACGUGCCAGGCGGCGCGCCGCCCUCUUGCCCCCUUCUCCGGUUACGAGAGAGCCAGAAAGAGACGGCCUGGCACGGACAGCGAGAUGGCGGGCGGGCGGGCGGGCGGGCAGCAGCGCCGGUCCUCCUCUGCUCUCUGCUGCGCCCCUGGCAGGCAGCGCCUGUUGCAGCAAGAUCGGGGAAGCCUGCGCUCCCCCCCCCCGGCUCCCCGCGCGCGGCAGGCAUGCUUCUCUGCACGCGAGCACAUCACAAACCAGCGUGGGACUGCCUGUAGGGUCUGGUGGAAGUGGGGUUUUCACCCUCUCCCUGCCACCCUGCAGCUGUCCAGAACCCGCUUGCCUUGGGGGCGGGGAGGGUCCCAAAACGAGUCCCGUGCAAGUUGCAGGGAUCGUGCCUGUUAGCCUCCGCUCUGCUGGCAGAUGUUCAACAGAUGAAGGCGGCUCACCUUCUGCCAGCUGA
RNAcentral lists this long non-coding RNA (1086 nucleotides) under Podarcis muralis (Common wall lizard). Its description in RNAcentral is "lncRNA (ENSPMRG00000020747.1)". Lineage: Eukaryota; Metazoa; Chordata; Lepidosauria; Squamata; Lacertidae. The record is from RNAcentral.